Molecule: ribosomal RNA, 277 nt
Filed under: uncultured bacterium
Lineage: Bacteria
Description: partial 16S ribosomal RNA
Rfam family: Bacterial small subunit ribosomal RNA
Source: RNAcentral
GACGAACGCUGGCGGCGUGCUUAACACAUGCAAGUCGAACGAGGUCCACCGCGUAGCAAUACAAGGGAAGACCUAGUGGCGAACGGGUGCGUAACACGUGAGGAACUUGUCCCGGUCUCUGGGAUAACAGUUGGAAACGACUGCUAAUACCGGAUGACGUCGGAAUCUCGCAUGGGAUACUGACGAAAGGGUUACUGGAUCGGGAGAGCCUCGCGGCCUAUCAGCUUGUUGGUGAGGUAACGGCUCACCAAGGCAUCGACGGGUAGCUGGUCUGAGA